This 351-nucleotide ribosomal RNA is filed under the name Eukaryota sp. Its description in RNAcentral is "SSU rRNA". It matches the Rfam family "Eukaryotic small subunit ribosomal RNA", at positions 1325 to 1700 of the family's 1831-position model. The record is from RNAcentral.
UCGUUAACGAACGAGACCUUAACCUGCUAAAUAGCCCGUAUUGCUUUGGCAGUACGCUGGCUUCUUAGAGGGACUAUCGGCUCAAGCCGAUGGAAGUUUGAGGCAAUAACAGGUCUGUGAUGCCCUUAGAUGUUCUGGGCCGCGCGCGCGCUACACUGACAGAGCCAGCGAGUACUCCCUUGGCCGGAAGGCCCGGGUAAUCUUGUGAAUCUCUGUCGUGCUGGGGAUAGAGCAUUGCAAUUAUUGCUCUUCAACGAGGAAUACCUAGUAAGCGUGAGUCAUCAGCUCGCGUUGAUUACGUCCCUGCCCUUUGUACACACCGCCCGUCGCUAGUACCGAUUGAAUGGCUGG